AGAGUUUGAUCCUGGCUCAGAUUGAACGCUGGCGGAAUGCUUUACACAUGCAAGUCGAACGGCAGCACGGGAGCUUGCUCCUGGUGGCGAGUGGCGAACGGGUGAGUAAUGCGUCGGAACGUACCGAGUAAUGGGGGAUAACGCAGCGAAAGUUGUGCUAAUACCGCAUACGCCCUGAGGGGGAAAGCGGGGGAUCGUAAGACCUCGCGUUAUUCGAGCGGCCGACGUCUGAUUAGCUAGUUGGUGGGGUAAAGGCCUACCAAGGCGACGAUCAGUAGCGGGUCUGAGAGGAUGAUCCGCCACACUGGGACUGAGACACGGCCCAGACUCCUACGGGAGGCAGCAGUGGGGAAUUUUGGACAAUGGGGGCAACCCUGAUCCAGCCAUUCCGCGUGAGUGAAGAAGGCCUUCGGGUUGUAAAGCUCUUUCAGCUGGAACGAAACGGUACGCUCUAACAUCGUGUGCUAAUGACGGUACCAGCA
Molecule: ribosomal RNA, 482 nt
Filed under: uncultured Thiobacillus sp.
Lineage: Bacteria; Pseudomonadati; Pseudomonadota; Betaproteobacteria; Nitrosomonadales; Thiobacillaceae
Description: bacterial SSU rRNA
Rfam family: Bacterial small subunit ribosomal RNA
Source: RNAcentral